GAGCGGCGGACGGGUGAGUAAUGUCUGGGAAACUGCCUGAUGGAGGGGGAUAACUACUGGAAACGGUGGCUAAUACCGCAUAACGUCGCAAGACCAAAGUGGGGGACCUUCGGGCCUCACGCCAUCGGAUGUGCCCAGAUGGGAUUAGCUAGUAGGUGGGGUAAUGGCUCACCUAGGCGACGAUCCCUAGCUGGUCUGAGAGGAUGACCAGCCACACUGGAACUGAGACACGGUCCAGACUCCUACGGGAGGCAGCAGUGGGGAAUAUUGCACAAUGGGCGCAAGCCUGAUGCAGCCAUGCCGCGUGUGUGAAGAAGGCCUUCGGGUUGUAAAGCACUUUCAGCGAGGAGGAAGGCAUCAUACUUAAUACGUGUGGUGAUUGACGUUACUCGCAGAAGAAGCACCGGCUAACUCCGUGCCAGCAGCCGCGGUAAUACGGAGGGUGCAAGCGUUAAAUCGGAAUUACUGGGCGUAAAGCGCACGCAGGCGGUUUGUUAAGUCAGAUGUGAAAUCCCCGCGCUUAACGUGGGAACUGCAUUUGAAACUGGCA
RNAcentral lists this ribosomal RNA (550 nucleotides) under bacterium BaC1-41. RNAcentral's name for it is "bacterial SSU rRNA". It matches the Rfam family "Bacterial small subunit ribosomal RNA", at positions 93 to 638 of the family's 1533-position model. The record is from RNAcentral.